RNAcentral lists this ribosomal RNA (1222 nucleotides) under Marcia recens. RNAcentral's name for it is "16S ribosomal RNA". The stretch from base 813 to 1135 matches the Rfam family "Bacterial large subunit ribosomal RNA", at positions 2074 to 2646 of the family's 2925-position model. The record is from RNAcentral. Lineage: Eukaryota; Metazoa; Mollusca; Bivalvia; Venerida; Veneridae.
AUAAAAGUGUUGAAAAAAUCUUUUAUUGUAAGUAUUGUGAAAAACUAGAUAAAAUAAAAUUGAGAAGAAAAUAAAAUAAAUAAGUAGAAUUUAUUAAAAAAAGUUCUUUUUGUAUCAUGAUUUAUAGAGAUAAAAAAUAAAUUUUUAAUCCCGAAAAUUUUAGAGCUACUAUAAAUAAAAUGCUUGUUUCAAAAAGUUUUUAUAGUUUAUAGUAGGGGUGAUAUGCUUUUCGAAAAAAUUGAUAGCUGGUUGAAAGAUAAAUGCAUUUAAGUGCAGAGGUAAAAUAUAACACUAAGCUAUUUGAUCAAAUAGUUUAUUAUUUUUAUUAUUGAGAUUUACAGGGAUAAGCUUGUAAGUAUAAGUAGAAGUUUAUGAAAUGAAGUAGAAUUAUAAUUGUUUACCUUCUGAAAAUUUUUUAAUAAAGAGGUUGAUAAAAUACAAAGUUUGGUAUCUUUUAUUUUAUAAUAAUUUUUUAUGUAUUAUAAGUAUAGAAUUAGUAGCUAAAAACUAAAGGUUAAAUUAAAUAAAAAUAUUUUAUUUUGAUUUCAUAAAAUAUUGAAAAUUAAUAUUUUAAAAAGGAACUCGACAAAAAGAAUUUUUGCCUGUUUAACAAAAACAUCGCCUUUCGAAAUUAUAUUAUGGAAGGUCGGCCCUGCCCGGUGAUUUAUUUUAACGGCUGCAACUUGGUUGUACUAAGGUAGCGCGAUAAUUUGUCUUUUAAUUGGGGAAUGGAAUGAAUGGGUUGACGGAAAUUUAUUGUCUCUUUAAAAUAAAGCGAAGUUUCCUUUUAAAUGAAAAGGUUAAAAUUUUUAUAAAAGACGAGAAGACCCUGUCGAGCUGUAUUAAGAAAAACAAAUAUAAUUGGUUUUUUUGAAGUGUAGUUGGGGAAAGCUGGAUUUAAAAUAAUAAGUCUAAGAUAUAUGGACCCUUAUUGUGAGAUUAAAAGCAAAAGCUACCGCAGGGAUAACAGCGUAAUUUUUCUUGAGAGAUCUUAUCUAGGGAAAAGUUUGCGACCUCGAUGUUGGAUUAAAAAGACCUUUUGGCGCAGAAGCUAGGGGGGUAAGACUGUUCGUCUUUUAAAAUUUUACAUGAUCUGAGUUAAGACCGGCGUGAGCUAGGUCGGUUUCUAUCUUUAAUAAAUAUACCUGUUGUACGAAAGGAUCCAGGAUUAAAGUUUUUACUUUUUUGGUUAAUAAUAUUAAUCUCAAUGUUUGGUUAGCCU